Long non-coding RNA from Pseudopipra pipra, 1244 nucleotides. RefSeq lists it as uncharacterized. NCBI's taxonomy places the organism in Eukaryota, Metazoa, Chordata, Aves, Passeriformes, Pipridae. The transcript has 3 exons. The record is from RefSeq and is a predicted model, not a curated record.
ACAGAAUUCGGGAAACGGCUUGGCGAGCGCUUAGAGCGGCACGUGGACAUAAAAAGCUCCUUUAAGCAAUCUAAUCUACCCCUCUCAAACAGUUCCCAACAAAAACCCCAAACAGGUGCCUUUAAUUGGAGCUAGCAACUUCAAAACCUCAAACCUUAGAAAAAACAGAGUAUCACACUGUGUUAUUGGCUUCUGCUUCUUCUCAGGUUUCAGAUUUUAAAGGGAAAUGUGUUAUCACAGGAACAGAUUCUGCAACUGCAUUAGGCAUUACUGUGUUACCUAUGGUUAUGAGUCUCCAAGAUCCUAAAGUUGUGUCUGUUGUAAUUAAACCUAACUUUGUACCCACAGUGAUUAAUCCAGAAGAUCAAAUAGCACAGGUCAUACCCAUAGAGGAAGGAACCCAGGAUGAACAGGGAAUUUGCAUAAAUUGGGCUCAAAAGGUUACUCUUGACAGACCUAUAAUAGAAUGUACUCUUCUCUCUCCUAAUUCAGGCCAACAGAAAUCUGUGUCUGGCUUACUGGACACGGGUGUGGACAUUUCCAUAAUCUCUGCCAAAGAUUGGCCCAGCACCUGGGGUACAACAAGGCCAGCUGUCGACAUCCAGGGAGUAGGAGGAUCCAAAACUCCUCUCCAGAGCAUUUUGCCACUUCUGGUCCAAGGCCCACAGGCCCUUUGAAGAAAGCUGUGACAGCCUUCACAGACGGCUCAGGGAGGUCCAGUAAUGCAGUGGUAGCCUGGUUUGAAAAAGGAGAAUGAAAAACAGAUGUUCAUCAAGUUGAAGGUUCAUCUCAGAUUGCUGAACUCUCAGCCGUGGAGCAGGUCCAAGAUGGAUACCGUCCAGACUAGUGAGGAUCCACCAAGAAGUUUCCCUCCCAGCUCAACCAGCAGCAGAUCCAGCACCAGCAGAUUCAGCACCAGCUACAGGAAGCGAUCCCCCAUCAGCAUCACUUUUGGGAUAAUCCUGGUUUUUGUGUGCAGCAUAACACCAGCAAAUCAGAAAGACUUAACGUCAGGAGCCCUUGCCACACCUCCUCCAACAAUUCCAAAUUGGGUAAUGCUCCCUGGUCAAAAUGUUUGGCUAAACCUGGCACAAUCACUAAAUACUGACUCUAUCUGUCUCUCUACCUUAGAUCUCUCUCACCCUUUUAAGACCUGUCUGGUAGGAAUCCCCUGGACACCCAGAGAAUGGGGUGAUUUUAGAAAUCAAUAUAUCCCCUGGUGUGAUGACCAUGAUCAGUUUAAA